This is a long non-coding RNA of Mesocricetus auratus (golden hamster), 606 nucleotides long. RefSeq lists it as uncharacterized. The transcript has 4 exons. The record is from RefSeq and is a predicted model, not a curated record. NCBI's taxonomy places the organism in Eukaryota, Metazoa, Chordata, Mammalia, Rodentia, Cricetidae.
CAGAGCAUCAGAGGAGUACAAGCGAGAGCAGCCAGGCUUACCUUCCCUGCCCUGUUGAGACAGGCAGCUCUCCGCAUUGCCCUCACCAUCCACGCUGCUCUCGGCUGACUCUUCUUCCUGUGUGGGGCCCGACGGGUGGUGUGCCAUAAAGAAGCAAUCUUAUUCACCAUCUACAAGUUUUUGAAGUUCAACGUCACUUUGAAGUUCAGAGACAACUUUGCAAACCUUGAAUACGCCCAGUGCUGUAGAGCACACAGCCUUUAGUGUACGCAGUAAACGGCAUGCAAACCCAGGAAAUGAACUGCAUCAAGAAUGGAGCCAUUUCCUUCUCUCUCCAGGCGGCCUGGUUGGUACGACUUGAAGAAAAAGCAAGCUGUGGGGCUGGAGAGAUGACUCAGUGGUUAGGAGCAAUUCCUGUUCUCACAGAAACCCUGAGUUUGGUUCCCAGCAUCCACACGAUGGCUUAUAAGUCCAGAUCCAGGGGAUCUGAUGCUCUCUUCUGACCUCUGAGGGGACCAUGCAGGGCAUGCACGUGGUAUGCACGCAUGCAUACAGGCAAAACACUCAUACGCAGAAAAUAAUAAACCUAAAAAUUUUUAAAUAAAA